This 72-nucleotide transfer RNA is filed under the name Microcerotermes biroi. Its description in RNAcentral is "tRNA-Cys". The record is from RNAcentral. Lineage: Eukaryota; Metazoa; Arthropoda; Insecta; Blattodea; Termitidae.
GGCCUUGUAUUCAUUUUGUGAUUGUAGAAUGCAAUUCUAUAGGGGUAGGUUAAAUAAGACUUAUCAAGGCCU